CGCGGCCUAUCAGCUUGUUGGUGGGGUAACGGCCUACCAAGGCUUCGACGGGUAGCUGGUCUGAGAGGACGGCCAGCCACACUGGGACUGAGACACGGCCCAGACUCCUACGGGAGGCAGCAGUGGGGAAUAUUGCGCUAAUGCGCGAAAGCGUGACGCAGCGACGCCGCGUGGGGGAUGAAGGCCCUCGGGUCGUAAACCCCUUUCGCCAGGGACGAAGGGAAACUGACGGUACCUGGAGAAGAAGUCCCGGCUAACUACGUGCCAGCAGCCGCGGUAACACGUAGGGGACGAGCGUUGUCCGGAUUCAUUGGGCGUAAAGCGCGCGUAGGCGGCCCGGAAAGUCGGUUGUGAAAGCCCGGGGCUCAACCCCGGGACUGCAUCCGAUACUCCCGGGCUGGAGGUAGGUAGGGGAGAUCGGAAUUCCUGGUGUAGCGGUGAAAUGCGCAGAUAUCAGGAGGAACACCGGUGGCGAAGGCGGAUCUCUGGGCCUUACCUGACGCUGAGGCGCGAAAGCUAGGGGAGCGAACAGGAUUAGAUACCCUGGUAGUCCUAGCCGUAAACGUUGGGUGCUAGGUGUGGGCGGACAUCGACCCCGUCCGUGCCGAAGCUAACGCAUUAAGCACCCCGCCUGGGGAGUACGG
RNAcentral lists this ribosomal RNA (644 nucleotides) under uncultured Actinomycetes bacterium. RNAcentral's name for it is "bacterial SSU rRNA". It matches the Rfam family "Bacterial small subunit ribosomal RNA", at positions 232 to 885 of the family's 1533-position model. Lineage: Bacteria; Bacillati; Actinomycetota; Actinomycetes. The record is from RNAcentral.